GGAUGUGAGGGCCAUCUGGUUGCGAUAUCUGUCACCCUAUUGAUCACCAGGGCUGAUUCGGCUGAUCUGGCUGACUAGGCAGGUGUCUCUUCCUCCCUCACCGUGCCAUGUGUGUCCCUCCUGAAGCUGCAUGCUUGGUCAAAUAGGACGACCUUCCCUGAAUAGAGGAGGACAGGUCUUUGGUCAAUAUGAGGAGCUGUGCUCCCCUGCUAAAACCUCCAAACAACCUCUCAAGAAUUAGCUAGUAACAAGUUAUUGGUCAAGCAUUUAUAAUUAAUACUAAAUCUCCAUGUUGGUUAUUUGG
This is an unclassified non-coding RNA of Cricetulus griseus (Chinese hamster), 304 nucleotides long. Its record names the gene 7SK. It matches the Rfam family "7SK RNA". From Rfam's summary of the family: 7SK was discovered as an abundant small nuclear RNA in the mid-70s but a possible function has only recently been suggested. The record is from Ensembl. NCBI's taxonomy places the organism in Eukaryota, Metazoa, Chordata, Mammalia, Rodentia, Cricetidae.